This is a long non-coding RNA of Mustela lutreola (European mink), 4908 nucleotides long. RefSeq lists it as uncharacterized. The record is from RefSeq and is a predicted model, not a curated record. The transcript has 10 exons. NCBI's taxonomy places the organism in Eukaryota, Metazoa, Chordata, Mammalia, Carnivora, Mustelidae.
ACGAGGAUUUUUCAAGAUGGAUAGCCCUAGCCCCACUUCAGAGAUGGGAAAACCAAGGCCAGGAAGCCUAGGUUAGGACCACAAAGAAAUAAAAUAGUGGAACUGGAAUUUGAAGUCUGACACUUGUGACUCCAAAGCCUGCUCUCUCUCUUUCUCUCUCUGGAGCCUAGGAAUGAAACGACACGAGUGUGACUGCAGGCCAACAGACACGGACCAAGUGCUGUUGUCAUGCAGUGAAGCAAGCCCUUGGAGACCAGCUCAGCCAAAACACACAGUCUGGGGUCAAGACUUGUCCUCCCCUGGGCAAGAAAUGGAGUUCUUGCCAUGUCCACACUGUUUGCUCAAGUGGUUUUUUCCCCAGAGAUGACUGCUUGCUUGUUUUCAAUUUCCACUGUGACACAAUAAAGAAAGCUCUAAAUGAAUGUUAGAAAAUGUUUUCAGGAAGCAGAACACAGUCAGUGCAACGUGGUGAUCUUGGUGGUAGUGAGUGACCUCACAGGAAGCCAUUCUUUCUUUCUUUUUUUUUUUUUUUAAAGAGAGAGAGGGAGUGUGCGCAAGUACUGUGAGUGAGGGGGCAGGGAGAGGGAGGGAAUCCCAAGCAGACUCCCGCUGAGGGCGGAGCUUGAAGCACCUCGAUCCCCAGCCCUGAGAUCAUGACCUGAACCGAAAUUGAGAGUUGGACCUUUAACCGACUGAGCCACCUUGGUGCUCCUCACAGGAACGCAUUCUUAUUGGAAAUUUCUUCAGUUCCAACUCUUCCAGCUUCUGGAUGACUCCUCCAAGAACGGCACCUCAGCGGCCCUCCUGAUGAAGUCCUGCCGGAUACCUUUCCUCUGAUUGGGAGGAACCCCAUCUUGGCUCCUGCCUGCAGGCAGUUGGGGUAGUACAACCCAAGGGACUAGUGGGAUUUGUGCCCAAGCCAGAGCCAUCUGCCCCCCAGCAUGCAGGUGUGCGACUUCUGAAUGACCCACUGCCCUGAGACAGACAGCUCCUGGGCCUCUGCACCCUCCCCUCCGUCUUCCCGAGAAGCCAGCUCCCUCAAGCCUGGACUACUUCCUAGAGUCUCUCUGCUUACUUGGUUUGGUGGGGGAGAGCCGGGGGCAGCCUGCAAGUUCUCCUGGGGAGAAGGAACGCUAGGCCACACAGCCCUUCCGCCGCAGGCAACCGUACAUGGAAUUUUCCCCGACGUCUGUGCUGUUCUCAAGUUUCCCGACCUGCUCACCCGUGCUUGGAGUUGGUUUUCCAGCUCAGAGAAAAUACUCAGAGCUGCUGGGCCACCAGUUUAGCCUUGAGGCUGUGACUAAAUAAAUAAGAAGGACAGCACCCCCCCCCCCAAACUGGAUCAGUUUAUUUUCAAAGAAAGGGCUUUCCGCACAUGUCCCCACGGAGCCAACAGGAAGGACUGUGGGCAGCGGACUGCCGUAGCCACACACGGGCAGCUGCAGGACCCUCUCCCUGACCUGUUUAAGUCAUGCCGUGAUUGAUGAUGGCAAUGGAAAAAUAGCAACUGCAGAUGGGCAGGCAGCGGGAUAAGCAAAAAACAAUAGUGCUGCUGCUGGCACCUGUCCCUGGCUGAGGUGGACGAGGCACUCUAAGUCGUCUGGUGAUGAAAAACGUGGGUUUGGGAGGUGGACAGUUUGAGUUCCAAUCCCACCCGCAUCCCUGCCAGGCUGGAUGUUACUUCAUCUACCCAUCCCAAGCAGCAUGAGACUUUUGGCCCAAAGACAGUGAGCAAAGGAACAUCUGUGCUUCUUUAAAGAUGUGUCACCUCAUCCCUGCUCUACAUGAUCAAAACUGAUGAAAGUCAACUCUCAACAGUACAACUUAUAUGAAAAGAUGUUCUACAACUGCAACCUAGAUUUCUUAUCACCAACAGCUACACUCUCAAAUCUCAGCCUACUGCAAACCGCUCUCAUCAGUCCAAAUGACCUGUUAAAAUUGAGCCCUGUUGAAGCAUCAUAGACUUGUACCUAUCUGAUAAACCACUGUGUUUCUUUGAAGAAGAGAAAAAAAAAGAAAAAGAAAAAAGUGAUCUUGAACUUGGACAGGUGAAAUACCUGACUUGAAAGCAGAGGAAAUAGGAACCCCACUACACUGAACUACAUCAUGGAGAAUCUAUGGUCCCAUGAGUAAAGAGCAAGCCCAGUCUGGAAUUUGCAAAAGGAUUCACCCAGCUCAAUUUUAGGAGUGCCAGUGGGACCCAAGGAAACUUUCCAUGCUGUUUUCCUGCAGAUGCCUCCUUAUCCUGGAAGCAGACACCCUGGAGUCAUUAAACAUUCCGAUCACUGGAGUUGACUACAAGAGAUCUAGUUCUUUGCCUACCAAGAACGGAAAAGACUUUCAUCACUAGUGGAAGUAGAGGAGACAACCCGCCUGCUUUGGAAUCUUGACUCCAUUCCUGUUUGGCUAUGAGACUUUGGGUAUUGAUGUGAUUUGGAAUUCUGGGGUCCAGAGCUGAUGGCCAAGAAAGAAUUCUUAGGAUGUCUUUGGUGCAAAAAGGUGACUUUAUUGAAGCAUGGGGUCAGGACACUUGGGUGGAUAGAACUGCUGCCCCAGGACUGUAAGAAGCAACUGAUUUUAUACUUUGCGGCUGGAGGAAGGAAAGAUAAAGGGAAGUUUCCACAAGGAUUUUCAAAUGCUAAAGAACACUCACAGGAUCCCAGAGGCCUAGCUAGUGUCAAGCCAGUGUUGUUUUUCCCUCUAGGAAAGCAUCAGCAGACAGCUGGGAGCUUCCUGGAGGAAUGUUACACUCCACCUGCCUCACUGGGUGGCAGGUUAUAAGGAAAUUUAAUUUUAUCCGCAUUUCUUUCUGCCUUUGUUUUCCCCAUCAGGUAUCUUUCUUAGGUCUUGAUUUUUUUGCUUGCAAGAAAAUACGGAAUUUUGUGAUUUUUCAACAAUGAUAUUUGUAUCUUUAAUAUCAAUGUCACAAUAUUCCUUUUCUGUCACCUCAAACAUACAUUUUAACUUUUGUUUCAAUUGGAAUCACAGUGCUACCUUUUUAAAAGAUACCGGAGGAAGCCAAGGACACUCAGCACAUAUACAAACAACUAAGCACAUUGUCAGUUGAAGUGACAAUAAUGUGGGCAUCCGCAGUUGAAUUCACACAAGAACAAAGAACAACAUUUACCUCACAGAUGCUCCCUGGUCAACAGGGACUACAAAUUGUUCUCUUGUUUUGGGUUGCUCUGAGCCUCUUGAAAAUGAUGCAGUCAAGGUUGAAAUGCUAGGGGAACACUCGCCUGGCUCAUACUCAUUUGAGCCCUCACAGGCAUGUCCCAAUUGGAGAUAAUUCUCUUCCUGGACUAACCCUUGUAGUUCUUACGAUUGCAGAACACACCUCAACAACACGCAUCAGGGCGCUUUGAAACAAGGUUCAUUACUCACAAGUCGUAGAAGGUGGAUAGCACACCCAGGGCCGCAGAGUAAGGUAGCACUAAGAGAGAGAGAGGUAAAGAGAGAAAGAAUGAGACAGAGAGACGGACCUAGGGUUUCCCAGGUUCACUAUUAAUUGGUGAAUUUAAAACACAAGAGUGGGAAGUAAGCCUGGAGAAGGGAAAGCAGGGUUACUCAGACUGAGCUUUUUAAAAGGGGAAACUCGAUGGGUGGGGAGGCCUGGCCCUUUAUCGAGUUGUGUAGCUGCCAAUGUGUUUAUUUGAGAUGAAGGUCUUCAAAAUGGAUGCCUUGACAACGAAAGCUUAAUGUCAAGCACUGACAUUACAAUAAAAAAAAGCUAAUGGUCAGACAUUCACACUACACAUCUAUUGUAAGACACUUCCUAACUUCAGAGCUGUGAAAGCAUUACAGAAAACGUGUUUUGGAACUAAAGAAAUGCAAGAUUUUAUCACUGGCUGAGUGCUUUACACAACACUUAUGUAAUCAUCGCAAAUCAGUAUUACCACUUUUCAUCUCUGUUUUGCAGAUGAGGGAUUUUGAAGCUCAUGGAGACAUAUAACUUGCCCUUGGUCAUAAAACUGGCAGAUUAAGGAACUGAGAUUUUAACACACUCUGCCUGAUAGAAAAACCCAAGCUCCUUGCCACUGUGCUAACCUUGCACGGGGGACAGGAAUGAGGGAGUCCAAGGCUGCUUUAAAGCUAGUGUGGCUCUCCAAAAUCACUUUGACAUUAUUUUUGUUCCAAAUUAUUUGCUUGCUCUCAAAGCAAACUUCAUUGUAUGAUUUAGAGUAAGUAUUCACUAUACACUUGUAUAUACUAUACACUUCCGAGUAUUGAAUGUCCAUAAUAUGACAAAGUUAUGUUAUGGGAAAAUACAUCUGUUGAGAAAAAAUUUGUAAUGGGGACUUUCAUAACGAUGCAUGCAAAAGUCCAGAUGGUUUGGAUAACUUCAGGGUCCAAAAGUGUUAUCCAUUACUGCUAUAUUAAAAUAUAUUAAAUACCACUUAAAAGGUAUUACUUGCCAGUCAACAAAUAACAGACUGUUUUGUGAUCAUCCUUAUUUCAAGGAUAUUUUUUUCUGUUUUUCAAACUUAUUUUCAUACUUAUUUUCAAAUACAUAUUCAAAUUCUUAAUAGCUAUUAUACCAAAGGUAUUGAGCGUAGAUUCUCAUGCUUAAGAGGGAGUGAGUUGGGUAAAAGCGAAGAGCAGAAUGAAAGGGAGAGCCAUAUUCACCUGUUGGAGCAUAUCCAUUUCUAGUAGGCCAGGUCCAGGUGUGGUGCAAGAAACUUCUGUUCUUGGACUCAGUACUAAAGAAAAGAGGUGUUAGCUGCUCUCUAACACAAAUCUUGGCAUUGAGAAUCACAUGCUCUCUCCAGCCACAUCCCCACCCACCAGCAGAAUCGAGGAAUGUAACUGCAAACAAGUAACAUUUUAUAGUAAUACCAAGGCCCCUUUUUAUCAUCUUUCACAUCUUCCUUAGGGUUCAAGUAAAUAGGGUCUGUUCUGGGGUUUGCA